AUGAACGCUGGCGGCGUGCCUAAUACCUGCCAGUCGCGCGAACAGACGAGGAGCUUGCUCCUCUGACGUUAGCGGCGGACGGGUGAGUAACACGUGGAUAACCUACCUAUAAGACUGGGAUAACUUCGGGAAACCGGAGCUAAUACUGGAUAAUAUAUUGAACCGCAUGGUUCAAUAGUGAAAGACGGUUUUGCUGUCACUUAUAGAUGGAUCCGCGCCGCAUUAGCUAGUUGGUAAGGUAACGGCUUACCAAGGCAACGAUGCGUAGCCGGCCUGAGAGGGUGAUCGGCCACACUGGAACUGAGACACGGUCCAGACUCCUACGGGAGGCAGCAGUAGGGAAUCUUCCGCAAUGGGCGAAAGCCUGACGGAGCAACGCCGCGUGAGUGAUGAAGGUCUUCGGAUCGUAAAACUCUGUUAUUAGGGAAGAACAAAUGUGUAAGUAACUAUGCACGUCUUGACGGUACCUAAUCAGAAAGCCACGGCUAACUACGUG
Molecule: ribosomal RNA, 496 nt
Filed under: uncultured bacterium
Lineage: Bacteria
Description: partial 16S ribosomal RNA
Rfam family: Bacterial small subunit ribosomal RNA
Source: RNAcentral